UACGAAGGGGGCUAGCGUUGUUCGGAUUUACUGGGCGUAAAGCGCACGUAGGCGGAUUGUUAAGUCAGGGGUGAAAUCCUGGAGCUCAACUCCAGAACUGCCUCUGAUACUGGCAAUCUCGAGUCCGGAAGAGGUGAGUGGAACUCCUAGUGUAGAGGUGGAAUUCGUAGAUAUUCGCAAGAACACCAGUGGCGAAGGCGGCUCACUGGCCCGGUACUGACGCUGAGGUGCGAAAGCGUGGGGAGCAAACAGG
Molecule: ribosomal RNA, 253 nt
Filed under: uncultured bacterium
Lineage: Bacteria
Description: partial 16S ribosomal RNA
Rfam family: Bacterial small subunit ribosomal RNA
Source: RNAcentral